UCUCAUCUUCUUGAAAUUUUCUCAAAGACGAUUCCGUCAAGACUCAAGACUCUCCUCUGUUGGGCUCUCCACAUCAUUCAAUCUCUUGGUCUCCACCUACAAAGUCUCCCUACCUGCACGAACAUCUCAUCAGUCUCCUCCUCUCAAUUUCUUGAUUGGAAUUUAAGGUGACCGGGCCGACCCAGAUAGCUUCAUCUUCUCUUUGUGCACCUCCCUGUGGUGGUGGAUCGUGGAGUAGCACGCCAGUUUCCACGCAUCGAAGCCCGGAAGCGACCCGGAUACCCGUCGGUGACCCGGUUGUGUUUUUCAAUUUUUCGGCGAUCUCCGGCGAGUUUAGGCUUCACCACCGGUCUCAAACUCUUUGUCUCAACAUCGUCAACAACUCCUCCAAAGGUUUUGAGCUAAAUCGAAAGACUAGUAUUCGGACGUGUUGGCAUGUCGGAACCGAGCCUUGGUCGGACGAAAGUUACGAUACAGUUAGAGCUCUAGUCUGUCUGCCGGUGUACUGCAUGAGGAGUAACAUAUGGGUUACCAGCUUAUGAGUACCCAUAUUUUUGGGAUUUUUGGGUGACAGAUGGAUUGCCCAAUGCCCGGCAGUGUACUGCACGAGGGGUAACGGAUGAGAACCUGGGUCUCAUGAGUACCCGUAUUAUAAAUGUAAUUGGGUAAACAGAUGGGUUGCCUGAUUUCUCAUAAGCACUUAUAUUUUCAGAUAUUAUUGGACAACCAGAUGGGCCGUCCUGUGACUCAUGAGUGCAUUUAUAAUUGAUUGUUUCAGUAUUUACUGUCGUAUUACUAUGCAUGUUAUUUUGUUAUUUUACUCAU
Long non-coding RNA from Argentina anserina (silverweed cinquefoil), 825 nucleotides. RefSeq lists it as uncharacterized. Lineage: Eukaryota; Viridiplantae; Streptophyta; Magnoliopsida; Rosales; Rosaceae. The transcript has 3 exons. The record is from RefSeq and is a predicted model, not a curated record.